UGGGGAAUAUUGGGCAAUGGGGCGAAAGCCUGACCCAGCAACGCCGCGUGAGGGAAGAAGGGUUUCGGCUCGUAAACCUCUGUCCUAUGGGACGAAGGAAGUGACGGUACCAUAGGAGGAAGCCCCGGCUAACUACGUGCCAGCAGCCGCGGUAAUACGUAGGGGGCGAGCGUUGUCCGGAAUGAUUGGGCGUAAAGGGCGCGUAGGCGGCCCGGUAAGUCUGAAGUGAAAGUCCUGGCUUCAAGUUGGGAAUUGCUUUGGAUACUGUCGGGCUUGAGUGCAGGAGAGGUCAGUGGAAUUCCCAGUGUAGCGGUGAAAUGCGUAGAGAUUGGGAGGAACACCAGUGGCGAAGGCGACUGACUGGACUGUAACUGACGCUGAGGCGCGAAAGUGUGGGGAGCAAACAGGAUUAGAUACCCUGGUA
Molecule: ribosomal RNA, 424 nt
Filed under: uncultured bacterium
Lineage: Bacteria
Description: bacterial SSU rRNA
Rfam family: Bacterial small subunit ribosomal RNA
Source: RNAcentral